RNAcentral lists this ribosomal RNA (224 nucleotides) under uncultured bacterium. Its description in RNAcentral is "partial 16S ribosomal RNA". It matches the Rfam family "Bacterial small subunit ribosomal RNA", at positions 111 to 334 of the family's 1533-position model. The record is from RNAcentral.
UAACGCGUAAAGAACUUGCCCCACAGCUAGGGACAACAUUUAGAAAUGAAUGCUAAUACCUGAUAUUAUGAUUUUAAGGCAUCUUAGAAUUAUGAAAGCUAUAAGCACUGUGAGAGAGCUUUGCGUCCCAUUAGCUAGUUGGAGAGGUAACAGCUCACCAAGGCGAUGAUGGGUAGCCGGCCUGAGAGGGUGAACGGCCACAAGGGGACUGAGACACGGCCCUU